This is a long non-coding RNA of Acyrthosiphon pisum (pea aphid), 1372 nucleotides long. RefSeq lists it as uncharacterized. The record is from RefSeq and is a predicted model, not a curated record. The transcript is spliced from 6 exons. Lineage: Eukaryota; Metazoa; Arthropoda; Insecta; Hemiptera; Aphididae.
UCGUGAACCGUUCGCACAGUCGAAUUUGUGUUCCUGACAACCAUAAUAUUAUAAUAUUGUUCCGGUCGAAUUUUCUCCGCCGCCGAAUCUCACCGCCGUAAUGCUUACCGCUUCAUCCGAGUGUACUUGUGGCCAACCACCCUAGGUUGGACGAAGAAUUAAAAUCCGUUAGUCGUAAGUUCCAAAAGUGUCCGUGAUUUACGACCUCGGGCGCUUAUAAUAUUGAACGAGCUACGCGCCCAUCCACAGAACAGUGUGUCAGUGUGGAUACCGGCCCGUGCCUUUUCUAAGGUCUUGUGCCACCCCCAAGACAGUACUCCAGUCAAGGUCCACCAACAAUCUGCGUCCCACAUCACCCGGUCACCGUAGUUCCUGCCUGCAGCCCGAGUCUCCGCGAAAAGAGUACACUGAAUUCGUGGGUUUUACCGACUGUCAAAGGAGAUGUACAUUCUAAUGAAGGUUUUCGUGAGAUUUUAUCUCCCGGGACAAUACCAUUAUGUAAGCCAACAUAUUUUGCACCAAAUAGACAAAAAAAUACUAGACUAGAACUAUUUUGUCAGCCUGAUGGAAUAUGAAGUAAACAUCUAUAUAGAUGCAAUACAUAUUGCGGUACAGUAAAUAACACCAUCAAAGUACUGAUAAAGCACUUGUCGGAACGGCACCUUGGAAUGCCGGAAUAUGUAGAUUAAAUAAAACAAACUUCGGUGAUUAUUUGAUAUGCAUGGAGGAUCAAUAAUUGCUUCAAACUUAGUCGUUUCUGUUAGUCUUUGUCAAAAAAUUUAAGAAAUAAUAAAAAAUAAAUAAAUAUUAUUUUUAGAGGCUCAUUGUUUUUAGAAAAAAUGUAUGUUCUCUAAUAAUAUAUCUAUAAUUUCCUGUCUUUACAAAAUUGUCGGUGGGAAAUAUGAAAAAAACUUUUCAAUAAUUAAUGACUUCAAAUUUCCUCAAUUACCAAUGUGGAUAUGGUUCACUCAAAAGAAGGUUAUUAUGGAUACUAUGGGUUUCAUGCUGAAGUUAUAGCUAUUAUUGUAUUACAAAAAGAGUUUCUUUUAGUAAUGAUGUUGUAUUCGUUUGUAUUAAUUGGAAUGGAAAAUACAACGUAGUCAAUGGAGAUCAAGGAAAGUUUCAGAACACGGAUUGGACGAGGGAGACAGUGGUUCAGGCUCGUGCUUUUUAGACUCUAAUUUGUAUUGUUUAACCGGAAUAGUGAGUAUCAAGGAUCCAGAACUGGAAAUUUUAAUUGCAGUUUCCACAGAAAUUAAGUACCACAUUCAAUGGAUUCGUAAACAGUAUAAACAUUAUAACUAAGUCAAAUACAAUUAAGGUAAUGUUAUCCCAAUUGUAAUUGAAAUAUAUAUUAGUAUAUUUUGAAUAA